Molecule: ribosomal RNA, 251 nt
Filed under: uncultured prokaryote
Description: partial 16S rRNA
Rfam family: Bacterial small subunit ribosomal RNA
Source: RNAcentral
AAGAAGGGGGCUAGCGUUGUUCGGAAUUACUGGGCGUAAAGCGCACGUAGGCGGACUAUUAAGUCAGGGGUGAAAUCCCGGGGAUCAACCCCGGAACUGCCUUUGAUACUGGUAGUCUCGAGUCCGGAAGAGGUGAGUGGAAUUCCGAGUGUAGAGGUGGGAUUCGUAGAUAUUCGUAGGAACACCAGUGGCGAAGGCGGCUCACUGGUCCGGUACUGACGCUGAUGUGCGAAAGCGUGGGGAGCAGACAA